RNAcentral lists this ribosomal RNA (186 nucleotides) under uncultured bacterium. Its description in RNAcentral is "partial 16S ribosomal RNA". It matches the Rfam family "Bacterial small subunit ribosomal RNA", at positions 1314 to 1500 of the family's 1533-position model. The record is from RNAcentral.
GCCUUCAUGAAGCCGGAAUUGCUAGUAAUGGCAGGUCAGCAUACUGCCGUGAAUACGUUCCCGGGCCUUGUACACACCGCCCGUCACACCAUGAGAGUUGGGGAUACCCGAAGCCUGUGAGCUAACAUUAUGAGGCAGCAGUCGAAGGUAGAAUCAAUGAUUGGGGUGAAGUCGUAACAAGGUAGC